GCGAUGUCGUUUAUGGACUCUUAAGUGCUCUGAAGUUUUUAUCACUGUCCUGUAUUUAUUUCUUUUUUUUCAGAUGGCAAUGGCUUAAUAUUAAAGGCAUCCCAGGGGAGCAGUUUGAGCCAAGACCUCCCCCUCCCAUGAGUGUGAAGUCUUGCAGCUCUGCCUGUGUCUCACUGUUUCUGGAUUUGUCUUCAGCUGUGGAAGGAGAAGCCCCACAGAGAGGCUGGCCACCCGCAGAGCAGUUUGGAAGUUACCAGGCUGAUGAUCUUAAGUUUUUGGACUCGAAGCAGUGCCAGGUAACUCACUGGAGAUGGCUGGAUGCAUUUUCACAUGCUUUGAAAUCUCCUUACGCCCCUCGAUGUGGUCUUAAGGCUGAGACGGACCUGUGCCUUCUGGUGGUGGUAAGUGUGGGAUCUCAGAUCCUUGGUGUCCCAGUCAUCCCCUCAGGCUUGCCCCUCCCCCAGGGGGGCGUGCACUCAUGUCACAUGACACCGGCAGGGCCGUGCUCUGAUUGGAUGGCUUCUGCAUAGAGGGUGGAGAGCAGCCUCAUGC
This 552-nucleotide long non-coding RNA is filed under the name Lepisosteus oculatus (spotted gar). RNAcentral's name for it is "lncRNA (ENSLOCG00000023123.1)". The record is from RNAcentral. Lineage: Eukaryota; Metazoa; Chordata; Actinopteri; Semionotiformes; Lepisosteidae.